RNAcentral lists this ribosomal RNA (590 nucleotides) under uncultured Burkholderia sp. Its description in RNAcentral is "bacterial SSU rRNA". It matches the Rfam family "Bacterial small subunit ribosomal RNA", at positions 418 to 1003 of the family's 1533-position model. The record is from RNAcentral. Lineage: Bacteria; Pseudomonadati; Pseudomonadota; Betaproteobacteria; Burkholderiales; Burkholderiaceae.
UCGGGUUGUAAAGCACUUUUGUCCGGAAAGAAAACUUCGGCCCUAAUACGGCGGGAGGAUGACGGUACCGGAAGAAUAAGCACCGGCUAACUACGUGCCAGCAGCGCGGUAAUCGUAGGGUGCGAGCGUUAAUCGGAAUUACUGGGCGUAAAGCGUGCGCAGGCGGUUCGUUAAGACAGAUGUGAAAUCCCCGGGCUUAACCUGGGAACUGCAUUUGUGACUGGCGAGCUAGAGUAUGGCAGAGGGGGGUAGAAUUCCACGUGUAGCAGUGAAAUGCGUAGAGAUGUGGAGGAAUACCGAUGGCGAAGGCAGCCCCCUGGGCCAAUACUGACGCCCAUGCACGAAAGCGUGGGGAGCAAACAGGAUUAGAUACCCUGGUAGUCCACGCCCUAAACGAUGUCAACUAGUUGUUGGGGAUUCAUUUCCUUAGUAACGUAGCUAACGCGCGAAGUUGACCGCCUGGGGAGUACGGUCGCAAGAUUAAAACUCAAAGGAAUUGACGGGGACCCGCACAAGCGGUGGAUGAUGUGGAUUAACUCGAUGCAACGCGAAAAACCUUACCUACCCUUGACAUGGUCGGAACCCUGCUG